RNAcentral lists this unclassified non-coding RNA (216 nucleotides) under uncultured Erythrobasidium. Its description in RNAcentral is "sequence contains ITS2". Lineage: Eukaryota; Fungi; Basidiomycota; Cystobasidiomycetes; Erythrobasidiales; Erythrobasidiaceae. The record is from RNAcentral.
AACCCUCAACCCCCCUAUUUUGUAAUGAGAUAGGCGUUUGGGCUUGGAUUGUGGCUGCCUGCUGGACUCUUUAAAUAGAGACCGGCUCAGCUGAAAUACACGAGCAACCCAGUUUGAUUUAACGGUUUGACUCGGCGUAAUAGCUUUAUUAUCGCUGAGGACGUUUCAUAUCAAGAUAGUGGUGCUUCUAAUGCGUACUUUGGUACAUCUUUAAGC